GGCCCCUUUCUCUGGAGGAGCUCCGCGCGUGGCGAGUCUGUGUCCUCCCUGUCCCCCAGAGCAGAGAACCCUCUCUGUGUCUGGACGGGGGAGGAGCAGACGCUGGACAGGUUUUUGGCAAAAUGCUGGCAAUUCCCAGGAAGAUAUGUGGAGAACGGAAAGGUUGCUACACCCAAAUAGUGGCGCAAAGGCUAUGAUUAUGGAGGAUUGGACCUGCAAACUCCAGAACAGAGCAACCUUGUAAAAUGUGUGUGGGCAGCACAGAGACCUUGGGCAAGUUAACAGUUUCCUCAUCUGUAAAUACUGAUUUAUGGAAAGCACCUGGUGUAUGUUCUGCCCUCUGAGGACCCUGCCCUUUCCCAAAAGGGGUAUCUUAAGAAGGAAAAUAUGGCUGCUCUUUGCCGGACAGCAGAGUCCCAGAGUCUCGUUCUGUUGCCCAGGCUGGAGUGCAGUGGCGUGAUCUCGGCUCACUGCAAGCUUCGCCUCCCGGGUUCACGCCAUUCUCCUGCUUCAGCCUCCCGAGUAGCUGGGACUACAGGCGCCCACCACCAUGCCUGGCUAAUUUUUUUUGUAUUUAUAGUAGAGAUGGGGUUUCACCGUGUUAGCCAGGAUGGUCUCGAUCUCCUGACCUCGUGAUCUGCCCGCCUCGGCCUCCCAAAGUGCUGGGAUUACAGGCGUGAGCCACUGCACCCAGCCGAUAGUUUUCUUAUAAUUGAGUUCUGUAUAUAAAAUUACUGUAAAACAAAACUAUCAAAUUAUGUCAAGGGGGUAUACGCAUUUUAAGAUUUUAAGAUUCUUUAAUAUAUGAGUCAAUAAAAUCUUGUCUUUGACACUGCGAA
Long non-coding RNA from Homo sapiens (human), 839 nucleotides. Ensembl annotates it as tripartite motif containing 16 like (pseudogene). Its record names the gene TRIM16L. The record is from Ensembl. Lineage: Eukaryota; Metazoa; Chordata; Mammalia; Primates; Hominidae.